RNAcentral lists this long non-coding RNA (1787 nucleotides) under Homo sapiens (human). RNAcentral's name for it is "HSALNT0017384". The record is from RNAcentral. Lineage: Eukaryota; Metazoa; Chordata; Mammalia; Primates; Hominidae.
CUUAAAGGGCCAAUGCAAGAAGAAAAGUGGCAAUGACAACACUUUGUUCAAACAGGGCUGAGCAUUUUGGGCUGUGGGAAAACAGAAGAGAGGCUCCUCACUCAGUCAUGAUGUGUCCAGAAAGGAGUCCCAGAGAAAAUAACAUCUGAUCUGAGAAAAGAGAGAAACAAGGAGCAGAAGUUAGGGGUACUAACUGGAAGAAAGGAAUGCGAAUGAUUACCAAUCCUGCUGCAAGUGCUUAAAGAAGAUGGAAUCAGAGUGUGGGAACCAGGCUGAACUACAUGACUGACAGUAGAUGACCGCCACUGCCACGGGAUCCACAGGGUCCACAAAGGUGCUUUUCAUUGGGCUGCUAUAUUUAAUCAUUCUAGGGUGACAUAUUGCUUUGAGAAUUUAAUCAAAGCUUCAAGUUUUCUUCUUGCACAUUUUAAAGGAGAGUUCAGGGUUUUUCCAGACCUCUUGAAGGCUGUCCUUGGAUCACUGUUCUCUCUCUCAGACCACCCCUCCCACCAGCUGAAGAACUCCUGUUUUAACCUAGCUUGUCCCAUGUAACCAACAUGAUGUAACAACAGGUUUCUGGCCCUCUCUGUAUUGUUCACAGCCUCCCCUGAAUCACUGGUCCUGGAACUCUCGUCUCAUGCUUCUGCUUUCCAACCUGGGCCCCUUCUUCCUGGCGUCUAACCUGAAAUCUUAUUUCUUCAUAUUUAUGUUGUCUCCCUUUUAGAUUUGAUCUACUGCUUUGUUCUCUGCCUGAUCAUAAUUCUUACAGUUCCGUGGUUAAACUCUAGUAAUCCUUCCAUAAUAUCCAAUCUAGCCUCUGGGAACUCCCUACUUCCCAUCCAACAUCCAGGCAUCCUUGUCCAGAGAACACUCCUUUGAAAACUUUUUCUAAAUUUUGCUUAGUUUAAGGAUUGAAUCCACAUUAACAUUUUUUAAAACACCUGUGGGAGAAGUAACAAUUAACCUAUUGUCUUUCAUUUGGAUUCCCGUGUUAAUAAGUUUUAGGUCUUUGCUUCAGAGAAGAUUUUGUUGAGGAGAGUUUGAGAAUUAAAUAGAAUGAAAAGAAGAAACUCUGCUACCAAAGGAAAGGGGGCUUUGAAAGCUGGAGUGUAAAAUUAUUAAUUUUUCCUAUCCCUCGUUCUGCUUCGGUCCCACACUAAGCUGAAGUGUUGAAAACAGUACAGAAAAAGUUUUUCUGACAGAAAAACAUUUGAGUUAUUGCUGAGAGUGCCUUGAGAUGGUGUGGCAUGCUGCCAGGCCUUUGGCAUUGACUGCCACUAGCUAAAAACUGUGUGUUUAUAGUGUUGAUGUGUGCCUGAUGAGCGAGAGACCAGCCCGCUAGGCUCAACCCCUGAGCCUGGCCUCUCUUAAGACCGUAGAAAGAACAUAGCACACUCCCAAGGCUACAGCUCUCCGUGGUUCAGUAAUUGACUUAGGUCAGCAUGCCAGUCAAACCAGACAGCCUGACUUUUCUUCCCCAACAGAAACUUGAAUUUAUAAAAUGUAUUCACAUCUCAUCAUUUAGGGAUUUAUGCCUGCAAGUCCACUAUCAUUAAAGGGUUACAUGCAUACAUUCUCCUUUCCAUUGUAGGGAUUACAAACGCCUAACGAUAGUAAAUUAUUCUCUUCUGCGCUGUACACUACGAUUACCCUGUGGAAUUUUUUAGACUGUUUUGUAAGGCAUUACAGCACUAAUGAAGUGUUAUUUAUACUACACACUGAUUUUCUGUUUUGUUUUUCUUGAAGUUUCUCCUUGUUCCAUCUUUUUUGAUUUAUCAUACAUUUAG